Molecule: long non-coding RNA, 237 nt
Filed under: Elaeis guineensis (African oil palm)
Lineage: Eukaryota; Viridiplantae; Streptophyta; Magnoliopsida; Arecales; Arecaceae
Description: long non-coding RNA (EGUI_LNC005424)
Source: RNAcentral
GCCAUGAUAAAUGAACCUUACUGUAAAAUUUAACGACUUAUCAAACAAAUUACAAUAUGUUUGAUUAUGAUGUCUACCCUUCUAGUGGUCAUGUUGCCGUCUCAGAGAUUAUACCACGCGUGUGAGUAUGAAACUGUGAAGUUCCAAGAUCACCGAAGAAGGUAAUUCAACUUCUCUUUUAAAUGAUAUAUAAGAAUUUAAGAAAAACAGAAAAUCAUUUCUUUCACUUAAUAAAUG